Molecule: long non-coding RNA, 508 nt
Organism: Artibeus jamaicensis (Jamaican fruit-eating bat)
Lineage: Eukaryota; Metazoa; Chordata; Mammalia; Chiroptera; Phyllostomidae
Exons: 3
Source: RefSeq, a predicted model, not a curated record
UGAAGUACACAACAGCUUGUCGCCGCAGGCGUGCCUCCCUCAGGGAAUGGAGGCCCGCCCCGGACUGCUUCCUCGAGCUCCCCCAUUCCCUGACACCGCUGCGCCCCCUUCCCCGAACCAGCCCCAGUCCAGCUGCAGUCCGAGAGCAUGGGCCGGCGUGGCGCUGGACCCCUGGACUCGGCAGAAGCCGCAGUUGGUGCAACGCUGCUCUGCACCAGGUACUUGCUGAGCACCCACCUAUGCCAGGCACCAGGCUGGUCCCCAGAGAGAAACAGAGGACUGCUUUCAUGAUGUGGUCGAGAGUCCGGCAACGACUUCACUGGAGGCUCUGCACGGCUGUAGUCAAGGCGUGAGGCGGGGCUGCACUUUCCCAGGGAGGCCUGGCUGCGGCUGCGCACCUGGGGGCGGGUCCCCUUCCAGGCUCCCUCAGCUUGUUGACAGAAUUCAUUUCCUCGUGACUGCAGGACUCAUGACAGUUUGCUUUUUCACAGCCAGCAAUGUCGGUGGG